This is a non-coding RNA of Pimephales promelas (fathead minnow), 3035 nucleotides long. The record is from RefSeq and is a predicted model, not a curated record. NCBI's taxonomy places the organism in Eukaryota, Metazoa, Chordata, Actinopteri, Cypriniformes, Leuciscidae.
UUUGUCAGUUUCCUGAAACCUCUCACAUAGGCUAAGGAAAGUCUCUCAGAGUAAAAAUGAAAGUAAGGCAGUUGAAAGGAUCUCUACCUCUCCUCCCACACAAUCACAUCUCAAUACACCUAAUCUAGCCCCGCCCCUUUUCAACGCUGCGUGCGCUCGUUGUCUUUUGACUUCCGGUCUGUGUUUUCACAGCGAUCUUGCAUAGGUGUGAAUGAACUGCUCGUAAAACAUUUUCCUGGUCGACAUUUGGCACAUCACAUUGGUGUGUGUAAAGGGACGGAGCUACCACUGAUACAGUGCUGCAGCCGGUAUCACUGCCCGCUGUGCCAUUCCAAAAUUUUUAAACCCACAGACCGAUACCGUGUAAUCAGUCAUUUAAAGGCUCACCUUGCGAGAUCUGUAAAAUACAAAGAUUAAUCAAUCAUCUAAGUAAAAACCAUUGUAUAGAGGCUGAGACAUCACUCACUGGAGCCGACGAUGGAACAGCGCUGAACUGGAAAGAGGCUGAGACAUCACUCACCAAAGUAGAGGUCAGAAAACCACUUACUGGGGAAAAGGAUGGAACAGCACCAUUGUUAAGCAUAAAAACUCGCAGAGAGCAAACAGUAAUUUGCCCCAAAUGCAACAUGUGUAUGAACAAAAAAAACAUGUUACGUAACACAUAUUACGUAAGCAUUCAGGUGUCCACACUGGAUGUCACCUCAAACUUGCACCUGCCAAGCCAGUGCCUGGAUCAUCUAAAUGGGAUAUUUGCUGUGGUUAAAACCAUGCACGGAUCAAGUGUGCCGUUUCAUGUCAAAAGAAAGAUCUGGAGUAACACGCAACAAGUAUACUGUGAAUCACCUCAAUGCCAGUCUAACCAUGAAUUGGCGCAACGCUAAAUUUCAUUUCAUUUAUUUAUUUAUUUCAACAGGGACAAUGUGCAAAAAACAUUAAUUAAAGAUGCUUUGCACCAGAUUUAGCUUAAGCUAGUUUCCAUCUGCAGUCCCCGAGCAGGUGAAUUACAAUACAAAAUAUACAAUAUAAAAUGUUAGAAUUAGUCACUCAAAUACAACUAUCAAUUAAUUCAUUCAUCCAUUCUCUAUUUCAACCAUCAAUAAAACCUCAAUAAAACAUCACUAAAAGUCAUAUUUACAUACAUAAUUAUCUAUGCUGGCACAACUGGUUGUUCAAUAGCACUUUCCUUAUAUUGCUAGAAAAAUCCUUCAGGUCAAAAGUGAGUUUUAGAGCCUUUGGGAGUUUGUUCCAUUCUUUAAUCAAAGGUGGUCUCCUUUCAGUGCUCCCAUGUCAGGUCAGUCGACUACUGUUCAUCAACUGCUGAAAGUGAGCACCUAAAAGAAGAUGUUUUGUCAGAGAUGGUUGCAAAGAAAUGGUUUGGAGGAGACAGAAAGGCAGAGUGCCUGAAGCUUCAAAGUCUGGCAACAUCUCAAUCGGUCCCUUUGUCUGUUGAGACCACAGUUGGCGUGCCUACUUUCAAGCAUUAUGUUUCUGUGUUUGAACCAAAGUUUUCUUAUUACUCGCAUUUAAGAAGAGUGAUGGUGGUGUAUAAUGCUAGAACAAACUCUUGGCAUUGCCCUUGCAUUCAAUCCCGACGUUCGUGUCCACAUAAGUACAUUGCUAAGUGGCACCUAUUUCAAAAGUACCCCAAACUCUUCAGAAGCAAAUAGAGCACAGAACCUUGCAUUGAAGUGGACCAGACUACUCCAGAUAUUGAUGAUGACUUGCCUGAUGGUGGUACACACUACCCCUCCAAUGGAACAAUGCUAAAAAACAUGGUUACAUACCUCUAUGAACAGAAGAUCCCAGACAUUCUUCCAAGAGAGCUUUGCUGUCAAGUCCAUGACAACGCUUUUCCUAAACUGCUGGUUUCAGAUGAGAUGUUCUGUACCUUCUCUCAUGACAAGAGCCCACUCUCUGACCCGAUUCUUAUCACUUCGAAAGCUAGAAUUGUUACAAUGAAUGGCAUUGUAGAAGAGGUAUCUACAUUUUGCAAGAAGUGCAUCAAGUGUGGUGCCAUGUACCGAUAUCAAGAAUUUAAAGAUCAACUACACAACUUCAAUGACCAUGUUCUGAUAAGUCUCAAUUUGUGUCUCUUUUUGAGGAGUUCACUACAGACCCAUUCUGCAGUGAGUCGAGUUAUUGACAGUCUGGAGAAUCUUAACCAUGUGAAGUAUCCUUCGUCAGACACAUGUCUUCAUGCAUACCUACAUUUUGAGGCCCUCUGUGACAACACAUACAACUUCUCGUGUGCUUCAUGUGGUGACCAUCCACCUGUUGUUAUUAUGGAUCUACAUAUAGUUUUUUCCAUGGCUGUGAGUGACAUUGAAGAGACACCAAAGGAUUUCAAAGGAAGGGUAAACAUUGAGGCGUUUUGGAACGCAGUGUCCUUGGAGAUGAUUGGAUGGGGAUUUGUGUCAAGUAAUAAUCAGAAUCCAGAAUCCAAGGUACUGCCCUCCUACCAUUUCUGGGCAACUUGAAUUGGGCACAAAACAAGGUCCUCCAAUGAGGUGCUCAACACAGAAUUUGGAAAGAUUAAGACUCCUAAGGUGUCUGAAGAGUCCCAAGUCUACCAUGUUACAGAAGAUAGAUUGAUGGAGGAGUUCAUGAACCAAAAGGUUGAUGUUGUUCGUAAACUGUGCAAGGAAUGUGGUCUGGACACAGUUGGAUCAAAACUGGACCUCAUUUCACGCUUGCAUAGUGAAAUGCAAACACAGCACAGCUACGACAAGAUUUUCCGGAAAAUAUGGGGUGCAUCAGGCAUGGUAGAAAGUUUGCUCACUGGACAGACAUGGCAAAGGCUGUGGUUAUGGGGAAACUUCAGUCAGUUUUCCGCAUUCCAAGGAAACAGAAACUUGAACAAGUCAUGCAAGAACAUGCAUACACUAAGAGGGCAGAGAGAAGCACCGCAAGCUAGAGACUCGUCCUGAGUCCUUGGAAUGUAUUUGAAGCAUCACUAUAGAGAGCAUUAUACUGUAUUUCAGUGUUGUAGUCGAGACCGAGACCAGAGAGAGUCGAGUCCGAGUCAAGACCGAGUC